RNAcentral lists this long non-coding RNA (342 nucleotides) under Trifolium pratense (red clover). RNAcentral's name for it is "long non-coding RNA (TPRA_LNC009484)". The record is from RNAcentral. Lineage: Eukaryota; Viridiplantae; Streptophyta; Magnoliopsida; Fabales; Fabaceae.
AAAGAUAUGCCUUUUAUUUAUUAAUAAUAGAUUGAAACAAGCAUCAAAAGUAUUGGCCUCUAGGGCUUACACCAACAAUAUGCCUAUAUGAUUGCAAAUUAAUAAUAAUUAAAAUCACGUACAUUCUCAACACUCAUCACAAAAUAUCUGCAGUCAAUAACGUUAGUUUAACGGGGACACUGAAAAAAAAUCAUCACAAUAACAUCUCUAUUAUUAUAACCGUUAUACUCACUUGUUAUUUUUGCUUGGCAGCUUCAUAGUUAGAGGCUAUGGUAUCCUUAAUUGCAUUUGCUAUGUUACUUGCUUUCUCUACAACAUUGUUCUUCAUUUCUUUCGCCUUCU